Molecule: unclassified non-coding RNA, 255 nt
Filed under: uncultured Parcubacteria group bacterium
Lineage: Bacteria
Description: contains 16S-23S intergenic spacer region
Rfam family: Bacterial small subunit ribosomal RNA
Source: RNAcentral
GACAGAGGCCCCAAGCAUUACCCGGAAUCACUGGGCGUAAAGGGUGUGUAGGCGGUCGUGUUAGUCCUUUGUGAAAGCCCGCGGGCUUAACCCGUGGAACGCAGGGGAAACGGCACGGCUUUGAGGGUGCGAGAGGUGCACGGAACUCAUGGUGUAGGGGUGAAAUCCGUUGAUAUCAUGGGGAACACCGAUUGCGAAGGCAGUGCACUGGCGCAUUCCUGACGCUGAGACGCGAAAGCGUGGGUAGCGAAUGGG